This 233-nucleotide ribosomal RNA is filed under the name uncultured bacterium. RNAcentral describes it as "partial 16S ribosomal RNA". It matches the Rfam family "Bacterial small subunit ribosomal RNA", at positions 794 to 1026 of the family's 1533-position model. The record is from RNAcentral.
UCCACGCAGUAAACGAUGAAUGUUAGUCGUCGGGAUGCAAGUCAUUUCGGUGAUGCAGUUAACACAUUAAACAUUCCGCCUGGGGAGUACGGUCGCAAGACUAAAACUCAAAGAAAUUGACGGGGGCCCGCACAAGCGGUGGAGCAUGUGGUUUAAUUCGACGCAACGCGAAGAACCUUACCCAGACUUGACAUCCUGUGGAUCUGUAAGAGAUUAUAGAGUGCCUUCGGGAG